CGCGCGCCUAACCGAUGCCGCGACGAGUAGGAGGGNGCCGCGGUGCGCACGGAAGCCUAGGGCGCNAGCCCGGGUG
RNAcentral lists this ribosomal RNA (76 nucleotides) under Sepia officinalis (common cuttlefish). RNAcentral describes it as "partial 28S ribosomal RNA". Lineage: Eukaryota; Metazoa; Mollusca; Cephalopoda; Sepiida; Sepiidae. The record is from RNAcentral.